CCUCGGGGUGCAGCAGGCGCGAAACCUUCCCCAUGCGCGCAAGCGUGAGGGGGUCACCCCCAGUGCUCCCCUCUGGGGAGCUUUUCCCGGGUGUAAAUAGCCCGGGGAAUAAGGGGUGGGCAAGACCGUUGCCAGCCGCCGCGGUAAUAACGGCGCCCCGAGUGGUGAGCCCUAUUAUUGGGCCUAAAGGGUCCGUAGCUGGGCAUGUAAGUCUCCUGUGAAAUCCGCCAGAAGACUGGUGGGCUUGCAGGAGAUACUGCAUGCCUUGGGACCACGAGGGGCCGAGGGUACUCACGGGGUAGGGGUGAAAUCCAGUAAUCCCGUGGGGACCACCUGUGGCGAAGGCGCUCGGCUGGUGUGGAUCCGACGGUGAGGGACGAAAGCCAGGGAGCAAACCGGAUUAGAUACCCGGGUAGUCCUGGCUGUAAACGAUGCUCGCUAGGCACCGGGAGUUCUGAGUGGGCUCUCGAUGCCGUAGCGUAGGCGUUAAGCGAGCCGCCUGGGGAGUACGGUCGCAAGGCUGAAACUUAAAGGAAUUGGCGGGGGAGUACACAAGGGGUGGGGUCUGGCGGUUCAAUUGGACUCAACGCCGGGAACCUUACCAGGGGCGACAGCAGGAUGAAGGUCAGUCUGAAGGGCUUACCAGACGCGCUGAGAGGUAUUGCAUGGCCGACGUCAGCUCGUGCCGUGAGGUGUGCCGCUAAGCCGGUUAACGAGCGAGACCCGUGCCCUCUGUUGCUACCUCCAUCUUUUGGUGGAGGGGCACUCAGAGGGGACUGCCUGCGUUAAGCAGGAGGAAGGUGCGGGCGACGUUAGGUCAGUAUGUUCCGAAUCCCCUGGGCUACACGCGGGCAACAAUGGCCGGGACAAUGGGAUGCGACCCCGAAAGGGGAAGCCAAUCCUCGAAACCCGGUCUCAGUUCAGAUCGAGGGCUGAAACUCGCCCUCGUGACGCCGGAAUCCCUAGUAGUCGAACGUUAGCACCGUUCGGCGAAUACGUCCCUGCUCCUUGCACACACCGCCCGUC
Molecule: ribosomal RNA, 1026 nt
Filed under: uncultured archaeon
Lineage: Archaea
Description: bacterial SSU rRNA
Rfam family: Archaeal small subunit ribosomal RNA
Source: RNAcentral